This 292-nucleotide ribosomal RNA is filed under the name uncultured bacterium. Its description in RNAcentral is "partial 16S ribosomal RNA". It matches the Rfam family "Bacterial small subunit ribosomal RNA", at positions 505 to 796 of the family's 1533-position model. The record is from RNAcentral.
GUGUCAGCCGCCGCGGUAAUACGGAGGGUGCAAGCGUUAUCCGGAUUCACUGGGUUUAAAGGGUGCGUAGGCGGAUUGGGAAGUCCGUGGUGAAAUCCCCGAGCUCAACUCGGGAACUGCCGUGGAUACUCUCAAUCUUGAAUAUCGUGGAGGUAAGCGGAAUAUGUCAUGUAGCGGUGAAAUGCUUAGAUAUGACAUAGAACACCAAUUGCGAAGGCAGCUUGCUACACGGUUAUUGACGCUGAGGCACGAAAGCGUGGGGAUCAAACAGGAUUAGAUACCCUCGUAGUCC